ACAGCCGCCGCGGUAAUACGGAGGGUGCGAGCGUUGUUCGGAAUCACUGGGCGUAAAGCGCGUGUAGGCGGCCUUUUAAGUCUGAUGUGAAAGCCCGGGGCUUACCCCCGGAAGGGCAUUGGAAACUGGGAGGCUCGAGUACCGGAGAGGAAGGUGGAAUUCCUGGUGUAGCGGUGAAAUGCGUAGAUAUCAGGAGGAACACCGGUGGCGAAGGCGGCCUUCUGGACGGAUACUGACGCUGAGACGCGAAAGCGUGGGGAGCAAACAGGAUUAGAUACCCUGGUAGUCCACGCGGUAAACGAUGGGCACUAGGUGUUCGGGGUAUUGACCCCCUGAGUGCCGCAGCUAACGCAUUAAGUGCCCCGCCUGGGGACUACGGCCGCAAGGUUAAAACUUAAAGGAAUUGGCGGGGGA
Molecule: ribosomal RNA, 414 nt
Filed under: uncultured bacterium
Lineage: Bacteria
Description: bacterial SSU rRNA
Rfam family: Bacterial small subunit ribosomal RNA
Source: RNAcentral